AAAACUUAUAGUUGCCAACGACGACAACUACGCACUAGCUGCUUAAAAACCAGUAAAUGCCUUCUGCCCGGAUCGUGCCUGUGCGUCCGGAUCGCAGGAGUCACCGACACAGGACCGCGGCGCGAGCAUGUUCAGGGCUCAAACCGUUAAAUCCUUACUGAACUGGCUGUGAGUUUUCCCUGCCCGUCGGGUAGCCUGCAGUGAGAUUAAAGACGGAAUAAGCAUGUAGAUCUCGUAGCGUAGGGCUUGCGGACGCGAGUUCGAUUCUCGCCACCUCCACCA
Molecule: transfer-messenger RNA, 282 nt
Filed under: Gammaproteobacteria bacterium
Lineage: Bacteria; Pseudomonadati; Pseudomonadota; Gammaproteobacteria
Description: partial transfer-messenger RNA
Rfam family: transfer-messenger RNA
About the family: Bacterial tmRNA, also known as 10Sa RNA or SsrA, is named for its dual tRNA and mRNA-like properties. Its role is to liberate the mRNA from a stalled ribosome.
Source: RNAcentral